UGUGGUGGUACUUAAUGUAUGACAUCGGUUUUAAAAAACACAUGUUAAAGAGGUCAAAUAGUGUAGUCUUAUUGAAUUAAUUUAAUUAAUAAUUAAAAAAUACUUCAAAUCCCUACUUAAUCCUACCACACAAAUUAACCGCGUCUGCUCUUCACACCCGUCGCUGCGCUCUGCCGCGCCUCCGCGCGCUGCCUGCUCAGCCAUCUCCCUCCGCCGCCUGCCUGCGCGCCGCCUGCUUCGCUUGCUCCGCCUAGCUACUCAGCGCGCCGCCUGCUUCGCUUGCUCCGCCUACUCCGCGCGCCGCCUGCUCCGCUGCCUGCUGCGCCGUCUGCUUCGCCUGAUCCGCCGCCGCCUAAUUCGCCUGCUUCACCUGCUCCGCCGCCGCCUAAUUCGCCUGCUUCACCUGCUCCGCCGCCGCCUGCUUCACCUGCUCCGCCGCCGCCUGCUCCGCCCCCUACCUGCCUGCUCCGAUAUGCUCAGCCCCUAAUUCGAAACCCUAGCCUAAAAUCAGGUAAUAGCUGAAUGGUGUCUAGCUUUUCCACUUCUGUUCGAUUUUUUCUUUUGCGAAUAUGUUGAAAGUAGGCGAAAUGUGGGGAGGAGAAGAAGAUAUGCAACUUUGAGAUUCUUGUUAUGUAAAUUUGGUUAUUUUCAGAAUUGGAUUGAGCUUCAUUUUUUUUUCUUCCUUUUUUUUGCUGUUUGUUUGGAUUCUUAACGCUGUGUGUAUGACUCAUUGGGCGUGGUGCUGGAUUACUGAAAUUUUAAUUUCUACGAUUUUGAGCUUUGGUUCAUUUUUGUUGAUUGUGCUUCGACUUCUGUAGUGUGGAGUAACUAAUAUUUGAAGCGUUAGUGUGCUUGAAGUCGUUGUAUUUUAAUGAAGGAGCAGCAUUGGACUUAUGUGUUUGUCUUGCUCUUUUAGUUCAGUCCAUGACCGAUUGUUUUCCUCAUUCCUUAUCAAGAGCUAUUUGCUGGCCUUUAGAAGAUUGAACACGAGUGUUUAUAGGAUGUAGGCCUGCUUUUCUUGACUUAUUGCAUUGUAUAUUGGAAGAGAGAUGUAGUUAUUUGGGUUUUAUUUAUUUCUUGAUGUUUUUCCAUCGGUGGUAUGGUUGAUCUGCAGUGAUGGUGCGCGGUCUUGCUUUCCUCUUCUGUAAUUGUUGAGCGUAUUUGCGUAUGCAUUCAUUGUGUCUGUAUGUAAAGAUAAUGAAGCCCUUGCUUUACUUUCUUCAGAUUCUGCUCUCUGGCUUUGCUGUUGAUAUCUA
This 1256-nucleotide long non-coding RNA is filed under the name Salvia miltiorrhiza (redroot sage). RNAcentral describes it as "long non-coding RNA (SMIL_LNC006959)". The record is from RNAcentral. Lineage: Eukaryota; Viridiplantae; Streptophyta; Magnoliopsida; Lamiales; Lamiaceae.